GCGGAUAUGGCGGAAUUGGCAGACGCGCUAGAUUCAGGUUCUAGUCGGAGUGAUUCGGUACAGGUUCAAGUCCUGCUAUCCGCACCA
This 87-nucleotide transfer RNA is filed under the name Oscillospiraceae bacterium. RNAcentral describes it as "tRNA-Leu". It matches the Rfam family "tRNA". Rfam says of the family: Transfer RNA (tRNA) molecules are approximately 80 nucleotides in length. Lineage: Bacteria; Bacillati; Bacillota; Clostridia; Eubacteriales; Oscillospiraceae. The record is from RNAcentral.